GGUAUUCAAUAAGUAUUUAAUUGCCAAAUGAAUAUAAAAAAUAAAUAGAGGAAUAGAUGCUUUAUAAAUAAUAACUAAUUUUUUGGCUUAUCAUGAAUCUUCAGGAUCUAAGGGGGAAUAUAUACAGAAAUCUAAACUAAAUGAAAUGAAACGUGAAAGAACUUAGUAGAAUGCUUGGCACAUAGUAACACACAGUGUGGAUUUCUUUUUCUGUUUAUAUUAAAUUAUGUACUUUUUUUUUUUUUGAGACGGAGUUUCACUCUUGUUACACAGGCUGGAGUGCAAUGGCGCGAUCUUGGCUCACCGCAACCUCCACCUCCUGGGUUCAGGCAAUUCUCCUGCCUCAGCCUCCUGAGUAGCUGGGAUUACAGGCACGCGCCACCGUGCCCAGCUAAUUUUUUUUUUUUGUAUUUUAAUAGAGACGGGGUUUCACCAUGUUGACCAGGAUGGUCUCGAUCUGUUGACCUCACGAUCCACCCGCCUCGGCCUCCCAAAGUGCUGGGAUUACAGGCUUGAGCCACCGCGCCCGGCCUGUUUCAUGUCUUUAGACAACUUAUAUCACGUCUCUGAGCAACAAUCAAGCUACAGUAGCUUCUGUGUCUUCGAGGGCUUAAUAGAACCUACCAUGCAUGUACAUAGGCACAUAUAUAGAUAUAUACAUAUAUACAAAAAUCUGCACCAGGCAAGAUAGGGGCUGAAGGAAGGCAGUUGGGGAAAGUUUAUAAAAGUCUUUAGGAGGAGAUGGUUGUGAACCAAAUGCUGAUGAAUAGGUACCUCCCAGGAAGGCUGAGAGUUCUCCAGUCAGAGAGAGCAGUUUGAGCAAAGCAGAAGUGCGGUAGCCCAUCUUACUCACAUGCGAGCAGCUUGGUACAUAGAAUGUAAGCCAGGAGAAGAACAGGUGGAAUAAAAAUAAGGUAGGAAAGACAGGAGGGCAGAGGGGCUCUAAAAUGCCAUUCUAGGGAAAAUACAUUUUGAAUAAUGUCCUGUAGACAUAAAAAGCUAUUAAAGUUUCCAGGGUAGAAGUAAUGUUAUCUGCUUUACAUGUUACAAAAAAUGAUUGUGGCAUUAUUUGGCAAGUUGGAAGAGUUUGCAUGGGAUUUGAGAGGUGAACUCUGUUGGCUGACAAGUUGGGUUAGAAUCCCUGG
RNAcentral lists this long non-coding RNA (1145 nucleotides) under Callithrix jacchus (white-tufted-ear marmoset). RNAcentral describes it as "lncRNA (ENSCJAG00000078383.1)". The record is from RNAcentral. Lineage: Eukaryota; Metazoa; Chordata; Mammalia; Primates; Cebidae.